UGGAACGGGACGCAAGCGCCGCCGAGUCCAGCAGGCGUGGCAGCUUCUGCGCCUGCGCAGUUCCAGUUUCACGUAUCCAUUAACCACCUGUGCGGGUUUUCGCUGCCUUCUGGAGAGUGGAGGUUGUAUCGAGGGGCGUGGCAGAGUCGCCCGAGGCUUAUCUCAGCUGGGAGCGCCGGAGAAGCUGUGAGGGGAGUCCCGCCUAGACACUGGCUAUCGUGGGAGGGGGCUGCUCUGCAGCUUGGACACCUUCUCCGCUGGCGCGUGUCACUGCUCGCCCACCAAGCCCUUUAGUCCUCGGCGUUUUGCUGACUCACGCCAACUCUCGAACCUCGACGUUCUUUCCGCUCAGUCCAGAGUCGAUCGGUUUCAUUUAGUCCCGCUGGUUGAAUCAGCUUGGGCAGAGUAUACAAAGCAGAAUGAACCUGCAGUGGGAGAAGUGAGGGAACGACUUACCUGAUGCUAGAAGUCGCAGAACCAGCAAGGUGCCAACAGGAAGUAGCAUGAGGGUCACCAAUGCUCUACAAGCCUCUGCUGCCUCUCGAUGGCCAGCUGCUCAGCAGCAGCUUUGGGGGAAGCUCUUACUGUAACCUGCCGCGGUACAGCUUGGCCAUCUAGGCUCCAUAGCAGUCUCACCAGACCUGGCCUCUCCUUUUUACCCAGACUGAGUCAGGCUCUGAAGCCCUAGGCAACAUCUCUCCUGGGACCACCAUCAGGAAGGAAAAGGCCGCAGCACCUG
Molecule: long non-coding RNA, 739 nt
Organism: Mastomys coucha (southern multimammate mouse)
Lineage: Eukaryota; Metazoa; Chordata; Mammalia; Rodentia; Muridae
Exons: 4
Source: RefSeq, a predicted model, not a curated record